Molecule: ribosomal RNA, 419 nt
Filed under: bacterium
Lineage: Bacteria
Description: partial 16S ribosomal RNA
Rfam family: Bacterial small subunit ribosomal RNA
Source: RNAcentral
UGGGGGAUAUUGCACAAUGGGCGAAAGCCUGAUGCAGCGACGCCGCGUGGGGGAUGAAGGCUUUCGGGUUGUAAACCUCUUCGCUAUCGAACAAGGCCCGCUUAGGGUGGGUUGAGGGUAGGUGGAGAAGAAGCGCCGGCUAACUACGUGCCAGCAGCCGCGGUAAUACGUAGGGCGCGAGCGUUGUCCGGAAUUAUUGGGCGUAAAGGGCUUGUAGGCGGCUUGUUGCGCCUGCUGUGAAAACGCGGGGCUUAACUUCGCGCGUGCAGUGGGUACGGGCAGGCUUGAGUGUGGUAGGGGUGACUGGAAUUCCAGGUGUAGCGGUGGAAUGCGCUGAUAUCUGGAGGAACACCGAUGGCGAAGGCAGGUCACUGGGCCAUUACUGACGCUGAGGAGCGAAAGCAUGGGUAGCGAACAGG